This is a non-coding RNA of Drosophila virilis, 526 nucleotides long. The record is from RefSeq and is a predicted model, not a curated record. NCBI's taxonomy places the organism in Eukaryota, Metazoa, Arthropoda, Insecta, Diptera, Drosophilidae.
GCGAAAAAAUGCAGCGUGCGACGGCAACAGCCGCCAGCUCCAGAUGGAAGUGUAGCAAGUGUAGCAGCAACCUAAAUGCGGGCCUGCGGGGUGGGCUGGCAGCUCACAGUUUCGUAUUGACAAGUGCGCCCGGAGGGAGCCAGAGGUGUGCAGCUAAAAGCGGGCACAAAAACGAGGCCGGUGGAUUAUUUAUGCUAGAAAUUGGAACAGCUGCUGCCGUUGGGCUUGAGAGGGCAGCCUCUUCAUCUGCAGCUGGCUGAGCUGUUGACAGCACUGAAUUUUUUUUUUAUGUUUGUUUUUUUGGGAAUCUGCAAGCUGAAAUGUUGGGAAAACAGAAAUCAAAUCAUAUUGCAUGGAAAAUCUGAAUCAUUAAUGGGACGUGUUCUGCUGUACAUAAACCAAGAAAGGACAUUGAAUAUUGUUCUACGAAUUGUUAAUGUGUAUUUCUACAAUCGCAAAUAUUUUUGUUAAUUAUGGUAUCAAUUUUUUCAUUUCGAGAAUAUAUUUACGAUUGAACGAUUGUUUA